This 484-nucleotide ribosomal RNA is filed under the name uncultured bacterium. Its description in RNAcentral is "partial 16S ribosomal RNA". It matches the Rfam family "Bacterial small subunit ribosomal RNA", at positions 28 to 507 of the family's 1533-position model. The record is from RNAcentral.
AUUGAACGCUGGCGGCAUGCUUUACACAUGCAAGUCGAACGGCAGCGCGGGCUUCGGCCUGGCGGCGAGUGGCGAACGGGUGAGUAAUGCAUCGGAACGUGCCCAGUCGUGGGGGAUAGCCCGGCGAAAGCCGGAUUAAUACCGCAUACGACCUGAGGGUGAAAGCGGGGGACCGAAAGGCCUCGCGCUAUUGGAGCGGCCGAUGUCGGAUUAGCUAGUUGGUGGGGUAAAGGCUUACCAGGGCGACGAUCCGUAGCUGGUCUGAGAGGACGACCAGCCACACUGGGACUGAGACACGGCCCAGACUCCUACGGGAGGCAGCAGUGGGGAAUUUUGGACAAUGGGGGCAACCCUGAUCCAGCCAUGCCGCGUGCGGGAAGAAGGCCUUCGGGUUGUAAACCGCUUUUGUUCGGGAAGAAAUCCUCUGGGCUAAUACCCCGGGGGGAUGACGGUACCGGAAGAAUAAGCACCGGCUAACUACGUG